GAUGAACGCUAGCUACAGGCUUAACACAUGCAAGUCGAGGGGCAGCAUGAACUUAGCUUGCUAAGUUUGAUGGCGACCGGCGCACGGGUGAGUAACACGUAUCCAACCUGCCGAUGACUCGGGGAUAGCCUUUCGAAAGAAAGAUUAAUACCCGAUGGCAUAGUUCUUCCGCAUGGUGGAACUAUUAAAGAAUUUCGGUCAUCGAUGGGGAUGCGUUCCAUUAGGUUGUUGGCGGGGUAACGGCCCACCAAAGCCUUCGAUGGAUAGGGGUUCUGAGAGGAAGGUCCCCACAUUGGAACUGAGACACGGUCCAAAACUCUUACGGGAGGCAGCAGUGAGGAAUAUUGGUCAAUGGACGAGAGUCUGAACCAAGCCAAGUAGCGUGAAGGGAUGACUGCCCUAUGGGUUGUAAACUUCUUUUAUAAGGGAAUAAAGUAGGGAGUCGUGACUCUUUUUGUCAUGUACCUUAUGAAUAAAGGACC
RNAcentral lists this ribosomal RNA (482 nucleotides) under uncultured bacterium. Its description in RNAcentral is "bacterial SSU rRNA". It matches the Rfam family "Bacterial small subunit ribosomal RNA", at positions 28 to 495 of the family's 1533-position model. The record is from RNAcentral.